GCAAACUUGGUCAUUUAGAGGAAGUAAAAGUCGUAACAAGGUCUCCGUUGGUGAACCAGCGGAGGGAUCAUUACCGAGUUUACAACUCCCAAACCAUUGUGAAUCUUACCUUUUCGUUGCUUCGGCGGGACUGCCCUGGGCGCCAUCGUGUGCCCCGGACUCAGGCGCCCGCCGGGGAAUCUAAGCUCUGUCGUUUAGUGGUAUUUCUGAGUGGAUUAGCAAAUAAUCAAAACUUUCAACAACGGAUCUCUUGGUUCUGGCAUCGAUGAAGAACGCAGC
RNAcentral lists this unclassified non-coding RNA (279 nucleotides) under uncultured fungus. Its description in RNAcentral is "partial contains small subunit ribosomal RNA, internal transcribed spacer 1, and 5.8S ribosomal RNA". The stretch from base 1 to 73 matches the Rfam family "Eukaryotic small subunit ribosomal RNA", at positions 1759 to 1831 of the family's 1831-position model. The record is from RNAcentral. Lineage: Eukaryota; Fungi.